AGAUUCGAAGCUUUUAGGUGGCGUUUUUUUACAGACGAUCUAGUUUUCUUCGUCACUCCAGUCACUCACAGGCUGUCAGUUAGACUGAUGGUAAAUUUUCAAAUUAGCUUUGUCGUGUCGUGUCUGACUUCACUUGGAAAAUGAGAAGGAAACGAAAGAGCAAUUCUGGUCCUUCACCAAAGAGAAAUCGAGUAGAUACUGAUUGUCUGGUGGUUAAUAAUGUUGAUCUACCAACAAAUGACUUGGAAUCACCUGGUGAUGGUGACCCAUUGAACAACCUAGAAAGUCCAGAUUCAAACCCUGAUUUGCUGAACAGUGUUCACACCUCAUAUACUGCUUUACAAACAAAACGUUUAGAGUACCCUGAACAGUACUUCAAAUUCCACAAAUGUGGAAACAAGCCAGGAAAUUCCCUAUACAAAUGUAUGGUAGGUGACUGUCAGUCGAAAGAAAAAAUUCUUUCAACUACAGAUAAUUCAAGAGGCAACCUCAGGAAACACAUCAAGACAUGUCAUGGCAAUUCUCUAGAGAAGUUUUCUCGUCUGUGUAGAGAGAUUGAUGUUAAAUCUAGUGGGAAGUCAAUCGGUGAAACUGCACCACCACACAAAGAGUCUACUCAGUUGAAACUGUCAUUUGAAGGAUAUCCAAAGGCCUUAACACAAGCUUUGCUUGAUUCCUACGUCGGAUCUAGUCUGAAGGAAAAUUCCGUUGCCAAUGACUCUUUGUACAGUUCCUCAUCCAAAGAUAAAAGUAUACCACCCACAUCAAAAGGAUUUCUUAAAAUAUACACAAAAACUGGAGAUAGUGGAAUGACAUCAACAUUUACGGGAGAAAGGCGUGCUAAGGAUGAUAACAUAUUUCAGGCACUAGGUGCAGUGGACGAACUUGCUUCCUGUAUAGGGCUUGCAAGAGAAUUUGGUUUGGAAAAUGGCCACCCAUACACUGACCAUCUUCAAAGAAUCCAGUGUAUUUUGCAAGAUGUAAAUGCCUGUAUAGCAACACCAUAUUCUUCAGCUCGUGAAGCACAUUUGAAGAAAACAGAAUUUGACUCUGGGCAUGUUGAGGAAGUAGAAGAAUGGAUAGAUUCUUACACUAAUCACCUUCCACCUCUGGAAAACUUUAUUCUGCCAGGUGGAGGAAAAGCAAGCUCGUCACUUCAUGUUGCUCGAACAGUUUGUCGAAGAGCCGAAAGAGCUAUUGUACCCAUUGUUCGAGAGCAACAUAUAAACCCAGAAACACUUAAAUACGUCAAUCGUUUAUCUGACCUGCUGUUCACCUUAGCGAGGUAUGCCGCCAAACUGGAUGGAAGACAAGAAACUGUCUACAUUAGACCUGGCAAAAAAUGAAGUGUAUUCCAUUUUGAACGUAGGCUUCAGUUUUGAAAUGUGCACACCUCCGUAAAGAAUUACAGGACACAAUGUUGAAACAUGAAAAUUUGCAAGGUUGUUAUAGUGUGCAUCAAAUGUGUUUCAAACCAACCUAUCUACAUCGGCUUAUAGCAGUUGUUGGUUGGGGGGUUGGGUUGUUGGUGCGGGUUUUGUGGAAUAUGAAGGGUGAAGUUAUACUUGCGACAAUGUACAAUUGAACUAUUAAGUUUUACGGAAUAUAAAAAGGUUUGUUCAAAA
RNAcentral lists this unclassified non-coding RNA (1625 nucleotides) under Daphnia pulicaria. RNAcentral's name for it is "uncharacterized LOC124341140, transcript variant X3". Lineage: Eukaryota; Metazoa; Arthropoda; Branchiopoda; Diplostraca; Daphniidae. The record is from RNAcentral.